Podarcis lilfordi (Lilford's wall lizard) is the source of this 83-nucleotide non-coding RNA. NCBI's taxonomy places the organism in Eukaryota, Metazoa, Chordata, Lepidosauria, Squamata, Lacertidae. The record is from the annotation of a GenBank genome assembly.
GUGCUACUCUGCUCAGAGGCAGAGCAUCUGCUUUGAAUGCAGAAGGUCCCCAAGUUCAAUCCUUGGCAUUUCCAGGUAGGGCU